GUGGGAGGGCCGCGCGGCCUUUCUUACCUCCGCGCUCCGGUCGAGGUGUGCGAUUUCUGGGGUUCCGGGAUGGCGGGUGGCUCCCGUCGGCCGAGGCGCAGGCCGCGGUUGCGCGGCCGCCCUGAGCCUGGUGACGUGCCCGCGGCGGCCCGGCGGGGUCCGAGGGCCCGGGCCCUGAACGCGUGGAGGGCAGCGGCCUGGCCUGACCUCCGCCACGUUGGCCGUGGUACCCCGGGAGGCCCCGCCGCGACCCCCAGCCUGCGUUCCCACGCCAGGAAUUGGGGAGAUUGGUUUGAGUGCAUCUAAGUUUAUUGGUCAUCGACUGUGUGCCAGGCAGCUUUUAAUAGAAGCAAAGAUUUCUCUCGUGUGAACGGGAAAGGCCUGACCGCAGGACUGCAUGUAUGCCUACCCUGUCACAGCGGGAAAUAAUGGGCCACUGAAGGUUUAGGCCCUUGACGGCUGUUAAAGAUGCAGAACUUGGCAGGUGAAAGAUGGAUGCUUGAAGCAGAUGGAUGCUGUUAGCUGAACACCUGGGAGCACAAAGGUGACCUAAGGAUGUCCUUGGUGAAGAAUUUGAAAACUUGAUCGAUCUUCACAGGAGUUGCUUGGAUCAUUUAAAAUCUUCAGGAGUCUGAGGACUACUAAAACUGCUUUUGGACAGUCCAUAAAGAUACAUUGAAAACAGCGUGUCUAUGAAUAAAUACUUAAGUGUGCUUCA
Molecule: long non-coding RNA, 718 nt
Organism: Hipposideros armiger (great roundleaf bat)
Lineage: Eukaryota; Metazoa; Chordata; Mammalia; Chiroptera; Hipposideridae
Exons: 3
Source: RefSeq, a predicted model, not a curated record